RNAcentral lists this long non-coding RNA (237 nucleotides) under Mytilus galloprovincialis (Mediterranean mussel). The record is from RNAcentral. Lineage: Eukaryota; Metazoa; Mollusca; Bivalvia; Mytilida; Mytilidae.
CCCGUACAUCAAUAUAUAUGGUUAAGAGGUGGGGAUCUCAACGGGUUUCAAAUUCUCAAACAGGAGGGGGUGGGGUGACCCAAGGGACUCCCCCUAUAUUUCAUCUGAUUUGUUAUAUUGUCCCAUACAUGAAUAUAUGGUUUAGGGGUGGGGAUCUCGACCAUUUUUAAAUUAUAAAACAGGAGGGGUGGGGUGACCCAAGGGACUCCCCCUAUAUUUCAUCUGAUUUGUUAUAUU